CAGAGAAUAGUUUAAAUAAAAUUUUAAUUUUGGAGAUUAAUGAUAAAAGGUUCUUUUUUCUCUGA
This 65-nucleotide transfer RNA is filed under the name Deronectes hispanicus. Its description in RNAcentral is "tRNA-Pro". The record is from RNAcentral. Lineage: Eukaryota; Metazoa; Arthropoda; Insecta; Coleoptera; Dytiscidae.